GGAACUGAAGAGCUUUUCAGAUUUCGCUCUUAAGUGUUUUACUCAGUUGAAUUGUAUUAAAUGCGUCAUUCGCUCUCUCAAAAAGUCACAUAAAAAAAAAAAUAAUAAUAAUUGACCGCGUAGUUUUUGAGUUAUGGCCAUAGCAACACCAUAGCAACGAGGGACGCGCCGUCCUGCCGACCCCUACCUCGUGACGUAACUUCCAGGAAGCCUCGCCACCACUCUGAACACGGAAAUAUAGCACCACGCUAUCCUCGCCAUAUAUUGCAAACAUUUUCUGGGUUUUACUCGCGGGAUUCGUCAUGCCAUCUCGAUGUGUAGCGAUAUGAAUUACUCACAGGAAGACUCGAGACUCUAGGAGUGGUCCAAAAAAAAACUUCUGCAAAGCCACGACAGCUUUGAAAACCUACAACAAUGCAACCUUGGUUUUCCAAAGACGAAGCCAAACAUAAAAAAUUAAGUGGCGGAAACCCUCAACACGAUGAAAAAAGCGUUGCAAGUCAGUUGCCACCCAGUUUCCCAAAAUCAAGAGAGAGUGGGUCGAGUCAUAUGAUGACCGAAGUGAUGCGGUGUCCAGCGAUGACGACUGAA
Corythoichthys intestinalis (scribbled pipefish) is the source of this 591-nucleotide long non-coding RNA. RefSeq lists it as uncharacterized. The transcript has 3 exons. The record is from RefSeq and is a predicted model, not a curated record. NCBI's taxonomy places the organism in Eukaryota, Metazoa, Chordata, Actinopteri, Syngnathiformes, Syngnathidae.